Non-coding RNA from Acanthosepion pharaonis, 101 nucleotides. Lineage: Eukaryota; Metazoa; Mollusca; Cephalopoda; Sepiida; Sepiidae. The record is from the annotation of a GenBank genome assembly.
UUGAAAAAACUCCAGUUUUCGUCCGAUCACCGAAGCUAAGCAACGUUGAGCCCGGUCAGUAGCUAGAUGGGUGACCGCUUGGGAAUACCAGGUGCUGUAAG